RNA transcript from Cebus imitator (Panamanian white-faced capuchin), 4001 nucleotides. It is a transcript of the gene named HPS3 biogenesis of lysosomal organelles complex 2 subunit 1, with no coding region annotated. Lineage: Eukaryota; Metazoa; Chordata; Mammalia; Primates; Cebidae. The transcript has 18 exons. The record is from RefSeq and is a predicted model, not a curated record.
ACGCAGGCGGAGCCCGCUGGCGUUCACGUGACUCGGCGUUGCUGGCUUGCUCGCGGAAGUGUUCCUACCUUUGCAGCCGGCGCGGGGUCUUCGGGCGCCCUGCGGGGCAGGCAGACUGGGCCAUCCGGCUUCUGGCCGCCGGGAUGGUGCAGCUGUACAACCUGCACCCGUUCGGGUCGCAGCAGGUAGUGCCCUGCAAGCUGGAGCCGGAGCGGUUCUGCGGCGGGGGGCGUGACGCGCUUUUCGUGGCUGCGGGCUGCAAGGUGGAGGCGUUCACCGUGGCCGGCCAAGAGCUGUGCCAGCCGCGGUGCGCCUUCUCCACGCUGGGCCGAGUGCUGCGCCUGGCCUACAGCGAGGCGGGAGAUUAUCUGGUAGCAAUUGAAGAGAAAAACAAAGCUACAUUUCUACGUGCUUAUGUGAACUGGAGAAAUAAAAGGACUGAAAACUCUCGUGUGUGUAUCCGAAUGAUUGGGCAUAAUGUGGACGGACCUUUCAGCGGAGCUUUCAGAGACCAGAUGUACAUUGUUGAAAUGCCACUCUCAGAGGCCCCCUUGUGCAUUUCCUGUUGCCCUGUGAAAGGAGACCUUCUUGUUGGCUGCACAAAUAAAUUAGUCUUGUUUAGUUUGAAGUACCAGAUCAUUGAUGAGGAAUUCUCACUAUUGGACUUUGAGCGUUCUUUAGUUAUACACAUAGAUAAUAUCACUCCUGUCGAGAUUUCUUUUUGUGUUGGAUAUGUUGCUGUCAUGUCAGACUUAGAAGUUUUAAUCCUAAAACUGGAGUCAGGCCCUAAAAAUGGAGAGAGAGUUCACCACCAUCCACAUAAGACCAACGAUCAAAUGAGACGGACAGAAGAAGGCAUCAGUAAUGAAAUUUCACAGCUUGAGUCAGAUUUUGUUAUCUGCCAGAAGCCCCUGGAACUUCUUGGUGAAAAAAGUGAACAGUCUGGAUUAUCUGUUACACUGGAGUCUACGGGAUUAGCUGAUGAAAAAAGAAAAUAUUCCCACUUUCAGCACCUGCUCUAUAGACGUUUUGCUCCUGAUAUUUCGUCCUAUGGCUUGUCUGAUGACAUCAAGUUGCAUUCCCUCCAGCUGCUGCCCAUUUACCAGACUGGUCCUCUUACUUCUGAUGGAAAAAAUUUGUCUCAGGAAAAAGAAUUGCUGAGUCUCUUUUGCUUUUUCUCAUUACCUCAUGUGGGCUAUCUCUACAUGGUUGUGAAAUCUGUUGAAUUGAUGUCGGUCUACCAGUAUCCUGAGAAGUCUCAGCAGGCAGUACUCACGCCACAAUUUUUGCAUGUCAUUACAAGAAUUCCAACAGUAGCCAACAGGCUGGAUUCCUAUGGGUGGAGUAACAACCUGCAGUGUUUCACUGUGCGGUGCAGUGCGGCAGCAGCUCGUGAGGAGGACCCGUACAUGGACACCACCCUGAAGGCUUGCCCACCUGUUAGUAUGGAUGUCUGUGCUUUAAGAAUACAGCUUUUCAUAGGCUUGAAAGCCAUCUGUCACUUUAAAAACCACAUCAUACUUUUGACUAAAGCAGACCCUGAGACGAUUCCAGAGAGAAGAACGUCACCCAAGAGGCUUCUUUCUAGAAAAGAUACCGGUGUUAAGAUCAAAAUACCUCCUGUAGCUGAGGCUGGGUGGAAUUUGUAUAUUGUGAAUACGAUCUCACCAGUGCAACUAUACAAAGAGAUGAUAGACUAUAGCAAUACCUAUAAAACUGCCAAAACCCAGAGCUGCAUUCACCUUCUCAGUGAGGCUCAUCUGUUAGUGAGAGCUGCCCUGAUGGAUGCCAGUCAACUGGAACCUGGAGAGAAAGCAGAGCUUUUGGAAGCAUUUAAGGAAAGCUGUGGGCACCUUGGGGACUGUUACAGCAGGCUUGACUCCCAGCAUUCUCAUCUCACCUUGCCAUACUAUAAGAUGUCCGGUUUGUCUAUGGCUGAAGUUCUGGGCCGCAUGGACUGGACGGUAGAAGAUGGAUUACAGAAAUAUGAGAAGGGAUUAAUCUUUUAUAUUAAUCAUUCACUUUAUGAAAACCUGGAUGAAGAAUUAAGUGAAGAAUUAGCAGCAAAAGUGGUUCAGAUGUUUUAUGUGGCUGAGCCAAAGCAAGUGCCCCAUAUUCUCUGUAGUCCUUCUAUGAAGAAUAUUAAUCCUUUAACUGCCAUGAGCUAUCUAAGGAAGCUGGAUACUUCUGGGUUUUCAUCAAUCUUAGUGACAUUGACCAAGGCAGCAGUGGCUCUGAAAAUGGGAGAUCUUGACAUGCACAGAAAUGAAAUGAAAAGCCAUUCAGAGAUGAAGUUUGUAUGUGGCUUCAUUCUGGAACCUCGGCUGUUGAUUCAACAGAAAAAGGGACAGAUUGUUCCAACCGAGCUUGCACUUCACCUAAAGGAGACUCAGCCUGGAUUGCUUGUGGCUUCAGUUCUGGGCUUGCAGAAGAACAACAAAAUUGGAAUUGAAGAAGCAGAUUCCUUUUUUAAGGUGCUUUGUGCUAAGGAUGAAGAUACAACACCUCAGCUCUUGGUAGACUUUUGGGAAGCUCAGAUAGUGGCAUGUCUCCCAGAUGUGUUACUUCAGGAACUCUUUUUCAAGCUCACAUCACAGUACAUCUGGAGAUUGUCUAAGAGGCAGCCUCCUGACACCACACCAUUAAGAACAUCAGAGGAUCUGAUAAAUGCCUGUAGUCAUUAUGGCUUAAUUUUUCCAUGGGUUCACAUCUUAAUAUCAUCUGAUUCAUCAGCUGAUAAAAAUUACACAGAAGAUCUUUCAAAACUACAGUCUCUUGUAUGUGGUCCUUCGUUUGACAUAGCUUCCAUUAUUCCAUUCUUGGAGCCGCUUUCAGAAGACACUAUUGCUGGCCUCAGUGUCCAUGUUCUGUGUCGUACACGCUUAAAAGAGUAUGAACAGUGCAUAGACAUAUUGUUAGAGAGAUGCCCAGAGGCAGUCAUUCCAUAUGCUAACCAUGAACUGAAAGAAGAGAACCGGAUAGACUCUGUGGUGGAAAAAACUGCUGCCUGAACUUUGUCAGAGAAUAAAAUGUGGCGGAGAGAAAUAUCAACUCUAUUUGUCAUCAUUAAAAGAAACAUUGUCAAUUGUUGCUGUGGAACUAGAACUGAAGGAUUUCAUGAAUGUUCUCCCAGAAGAUGGUACUGCAGCAUUUUUCUUGCCAUACCUUCUCUAUUGCAGUCGAAAGAAAUCAUUGACUUAAAGGUAUCAUUUGAAAAAUACCAUAAUGGCAUUUGAGACUGAAUUUCCAAAAUUGAAUGCCAAAGUACAAGUAGAGGCAUUUUGAUUACACACACAUGUAUAUGUAAUCAUAUAUAUAUAUUUUAUAUAUAUAUAUAUAUAUGUAAAAUAUAUAUAUAAUAUAUAUAUCACACAUGUAUGAUGCAGGUGCUUUCAGGCUGCUUACCUUACCAUAUAGUGGUGACUAUUCAUUUCUUAAUUUAUGACCUCAAUCAGUUUAAUUGUCUAGAAUGUAAAAAGUCUUCAAGACAUAAGAAUUCCUCAGAGAAACCAUAUAUUUUUUUAAGGUAGAAAUUGACUUUUAUUCCAAGGAACAACAUCAGUUCACUGUUAUUGGAGACAUGACAAUCGUUUUCGUCCCAAGAACACUUUAAGGAAAUGUUUUGCAAAUAUGCUUGAAACAAUGUCACUAACUGGCCCAGAAUUUUAUCUUCUUGAUUUUUCCAGUUUUCUCUAUGCUUUUGAGAAAGAUGUUAAUGUUUUGCCGUGGUAAAAAAUUUCAAACCUCAUUUUUUUGGUUACUUUUCUUGUUACCUUAAGAAAACUCGUGCUUUCUUCUUGUUACCUUAAGAAAACUGUUUUUCUUUGAAUCAAAUGAAGUAAACGUUUACAAAGCUAACUUUCUUCUUGUCUAGCUAUUAACAUGAUUUGUCGAAUGCGUGCUUUUUUCAGCCAAAGCUUUGUUUCCAUUUUUUGUUGAUGUGUACUCUUACUCUUUUAGCUACAGUGUAUGUGAAAAUAAAGAAAUAUAUCAUUGUAUUC